AACGUAGGUGGCAAGCGUUGUCCGGAUUUACUGGGCGUAAAGGAUGCGUAGGCGGAUGUUUAAGUGAGAUGUGAAAUACCCGAGCUCAACUUGGGUGCUGCAUUUCAAACUGGAUAUCUAGAGUGCAGGAGAGGAAAGCGGAAUUCCUAGUGUAGCGGUGAAAUGCGUAGAGAUUAGGAAGAACACCAGUGGCGAAGGCGGCUUUCAGGACUGUAACUGACGCUGAGGCAUGAAAGCGUGGGGAGCAAACAGG
This 253-nucleotide ribosomal RNA is filed under the name uncultured bacterium. Its description in RNAcentral is "partial 16S ribosomal RNA". It matches the Rfam family "Bacterial small subunit ribosomal RNA", at positions 524 to 776 of the family's 1533-position model. The record is from RNAcentral.